UAAAAUAGGAACGAUACAGAGAUUAGCAUGGCCCCUGUGCGAGGAUGACAUGCAAAUUUGUGAAGAGUUCCAUAUAUUU
Small nuclear RNA from Homo sapiens (human), 79 nucleotides. The record is from Ensembl. NCBI's taxonomy places the organism in Eukaryota, Metazoa, Chordata, Mammalia, Primates, Hominidae.